GUGAGCUCGAUGAGUAGGGCGGGACACGUGGUAUCCUGUCUGAAUAUGGGGGGACCAUCCUCCAAGGCUAAAUACUCCUGACUGACCGAUAGUGAACCAGUACCGUGAGGGAAAGGCGAAAAGAACCCCGGCGAGGGGAGUGAAAAAGAACCUGAAACCGUGUACGUACAAGCAGUGGGAGCACGCUUAGGCGUGUGACUGCGUACCUUUUGUAUAAUGGGUCAGCGACUUAUAUUCUGUAGCAAGGUUAACCGAAUAGGGGAGCCGAAGGGAAACCGAGUCUUAACUGGGCGUUAAGUUGCAGGGUAUAGACCCGAAACCCGGUGAUCUAGCCAUGGGCAGGUUGAAGGUUGGGUAACACUAACUGGAGGACCGAACCGACUAAUGUUGAAAAAUUAGCGGAUGACUUGUGGCUGG
Molecule: ribosomal RNA, 417 nt
Filed under: Bacteroides ovatus
Lineage: Bacteria; Pseudomonadati; Bacteroidota; Bacteroidia; Bacteroidales; Bacteroidaceae
Description: partial 23S ribosomal RNA
Rfam family: Bacterial large subunit ribosomal RNA
Source: RNAcentral